CGGUAAUACGGAGGAGGCAAGCGUUGUUCGGAAUCAUUGGGCUUAAAGCGCGUGUAGGCGGACCAGUAAGUGUCUUGUGAAAGCCCUCGGCUCAACCGAGGAAUUGCUGGGCAUACUGCUAGUCUUGAGGCAGGUAGGGGCGGGUGGAACUCUAGGUGGAGCGGUGAAAUGCGUAGAUAUCUAGAGGAACGCCGGUGGCGAAAGCGACCCGCUGGGCCUGUUCUGACGCUGAGACGCGAAAGCGUAGGGAGCGAACGGGAUUAGAUACCCCGGUAGUCUACGCCGUAAACGAUGCGCACUAGGUGCAAGGGCUUCUGACGGUUCUUGGGCCGAAGCAAAAGUGAUAAGUGCGCCGCCUGGGGAGUACGGCCGCAAGGCUAAAACUCAAAGGAAUUGACGGGGGCUCACACAAGCGGUGGAGCAUGUGGAUUAAUUCGAAGCAACGCGAAGAACCCUACCUGGGUUUGACAUGCCUGGAUACGUCCCUUGAAAGAGGGAGCCGUUGCCCUUUGGGUGAAACAGGCACAGGUGCUGCAUGGCUGUCGUCAGCUCGUGCUGUGAAGUGUCGGGUUAAGUCCCUUAACGAGCGAAACCCUUAUCGCUAGUUGCCAGCGGGUAAUGCCGGGGACUCUAGCGAGACUGCCGGUGUCAAACCGGAGGAAGGUGGGGAUGACGUCAAGUCCUCAUGGCCUUUACGCCCAGGGUGUCACACGUGCUACAAUGGGGUGAACAGAGCGAAGCGAGCCGGCGACGGGGAGCAAAUCGCAGAAAUCACCUCUCAGUUCGGAUUGGAGUCUGCAAUUCGACUCCAUGAAGUUGGAAUCGCUAGUAAUCGCGUAUCAGCCACGACGCGGUGAAUAUGUUCCUGAG
Molecule: ribosomal RNA, 870 nt
Filed under: uncultured bacterium
Lineage: Bacteria
Description: bacterial SSU rRNA
Rfam family: Bacterial small subunit ribosomal RNA
Source: RNAcentral